AGCGAACGCUGGCGGCAGGCUUAACACAUGCAAGUCGAGCGGGCAUCUUCGGAUGUCAGCGGCAGACGGGUGAGUAACACGUGGGAACGUACCCUUCGGUUCGGAACAACUCUGGGAAACUGGAGCUAAUACCGGAUACGCCCUUAUGGGGAAAGGUUUACUGCCGAAGGAUCGGCCCGCGUCUGAUUAGCUAGUUGGUGGGGUAACGGCCUACCAAGGCGACGAUCAGUAGCUGGUCUGAGAGGAUGAUCAGCCACACUGGGACUGAGACACGGCCCAGACUCCUACGGGAGGCAGCAAUGGGGAAUAUUGGACAAUGGGCGCAAGCCUGAUCCAGCCAUGCCGCGUGAGUGAUGAAGGCCUUAGGGUUGUAAAGCUCUUUUGUCCGGGACGAUAAUGACGGUACCGGAAGAAUAAGCCCCGGCUAACUUCGUG
This 435-nucleotide ribosomal RNA is filed under the name uncultured bacterium. Its description in RNAcentral is "partial 16S ribosomal RNA". It matches the Rfam family "Bacterial small subunit ribosomal RNA", at positions 29 to 507 of the family's 1533-position model. The record is from RNAcentral.